Molecule: transfer RNA, 82 nt
Filed under: bacterium
Lineage: Bacteria
Description: tRNA-Leu
Rfam family: tRNA
About the family: Transfer RNA (tRNA) molecules are approximately 80 nucleotides in length.
Source: RNAcentral
GCCAAGGUGGAGAAACUGGUAAACUCGCUAGCCUUAGGAGCUAGUGCCGCAAGGCUUGUGGGUUCGAAUCCCACCCUUGGCA